Molecule: ribosomal RNA, 492 nt
Filed under: uncultured bacterium
Lineage: Bacteria
Description: partial 16S ribosomal RNA
Rfam family: Bacterial small subunit ribosomal RNA
Source: RNAcentral
AGUGAACGCUGGCGGUAGGCCUAACACAUGCAAGUCGAACGGCGGCACAGUAAGAGCUUGCUCUUACGGGUGGCGAAUGGCGGACGGGUGAGGAAUACAUCGGAAUCUACUUUUUCGUGGGGGAUAACGUAGGGAAACUUACGCUAAUACCGCAUACGACCUACGGGUGAAAGCAGGGGAUCUUCGGACCUUGCGCGAUUGAAUGAGCCGAUGUCGGAUUAGCUAGUUGGCGGGGUAAAGGCCCACCAAGGCGACGAUCCGUAGCUGGUCUGAGAGGAUGAUCAGCCACACUGGAACUGAGACACGGUCCAGACUCCUACGGGAGGCAGCAGUGGGGAAUAUUGGACAAUGGGCGCAAGCCUGAUCCAGCCAUACCGCGUGGGUGAAGAAGGCCUUCGGGUUGUAAAGCCCUUUUGUUGGGAAAGAAAAGCAGCAGGUUAAUACCCCGCUGUUCUGACGGUACCCAAAGAAUAAGCACCGGCUAACUUCGUG